CAGGGGGGGGCAAGCGUUGUUCGGAAUUACUGGGCGUAAAGGGUUCGUAGGUGGCUACCUAAGUCAGACGUGAAAUCCCUCAGCUUAACUGGGGAACUGCGUCUGAUACUGGGUGGCUUGAGUGCAGGAGAGGAAUGCGGAAUUCCAGGUGUAGCGGUGAAAUGCGUAGAUAUCUGGAGGAACACCGGUGGCGAAGGCGGCAUUCUGGACUGUAACUGACACUGAUGAACGAAAGCCAGGGGAGCAAACGGGAUUAGAUACCCCGGUAGUCCUGGCCCUAAACGAUGAAUGCUUGGUGUGGCGGGUAUCGAUCCCUGCCGUGCCGCAGUUAACGCGAUAAGCAUUCCGCCUGGGGAGUACGGGUCGCAAGGCUAG
RNAcentral lists this ribosomal RNA (375 nucleotides) under uncultured organism. RNAcentral describes it as "bacterial SSU rRNA". It matches the Rfam family "Bacterial small subunit ribosomal RNA", at positions 525 to 897 of the family's 1533-position model. The record is from RNAcentral.